UACGUAGGGGGCUAGCGUUGUCCGGAAUCAUUGGGCGUAAAGAGCGUGUAGGCGGCCCGGUAAGUCCGCUGUAAAAGUCAAAGGCUCAACCUUUGAAUGUCAGUGGAUACUGCCGGGCUAGAGUCCGGAAGAGGCGAGUGGAACUCCUGGUGUAGCGGUGGAAUGCGCAGAUAUCAGGAAGAACACCAGCGGCGAAGGCAGCUCGCUGGGACGGUACUGACGCUGAGACGCGAAAGCGUGGGGAGCGAACAGG
This 253-nucleotide ribosomal RNA is filed under the name uncultured bacterium. Its description in RNAcentral is "partial 16S ribosomal RNA". It matches the Rfam family "Bacterial small subunit ribosomal RNA", at positions 524 to 776 of the family's 1533-position model. The record is from RNAcentral.